This 392-nucleotide ribosomal RNA is filed under the name uncultured microorganism. Its description in RNAcentral is "bacterial SSU rRNA". It matches the Rfam family "Archaeal small subunit ribosomal RNA", at positions 330 to 677 of the family's 1478-position model. The record is from RNAcentral.
GUGCACCAGGCGAGAAACCUUCGCAAUGCAGGAAACUGCGGCGAGGGAACACCAAGUGCCUACGCUCAGCGUAGGCUGUUCUCAAGCCUAGAAAGCUUGAGGAGUAAGGGCUGGGUAAGACGGGUGCCAUCUGUGGUAGCAGUCAAUAGAUUCGAUUUGUUACUGCAAGGCAUAAGCCGCCGCGGUAAUACCCGCAGCCCAAGUGGUGGCCGCUUUUAUUGGGCCUAAAGCGUCCGUAGCCGGCCCGGUAAAUGCCUGGGUAAAUCGUGGAGCCCAACUUCACGAAUUCCGGGUAGACUGCCGAGCUCGGGACCGGAAGAGGGAGAGGGUACUUCAGGGGUAGGGUGAAAAUUUCCUUUCCAUUAACGCUUUGCGCGAAGCGGAAAGGGUUA